Ictalurus punctatus (channel catfish) is the source of this 1423-nucleotide long non-coding RNA. RefSeq lists it as uncharacterized. The transcript is spliced from 5 exons. Lineage: Eukaryota; Metazoa; Chordata; Actinopteri; Siluriformes; Ictaluridae. The record is from RefSeq and is a predicted model, not a curated record.
AGAUUGUGAAAAAUUUCAUGCAUGAUUUGGACACCAUCACAAAGGUUUCAGACGUCUGCCUCAUGGGAGGGAAAGGCCUCUACUUUCCCAAUGGGUCAUCAGGAGAUCUGGAGUCUAUCUCCGGGAACUAUAAUGCAUGUCUUUGGACUGGGGGAGGAAACAGGAGUACCCGGAGGAAACCCCCAGGGCGGAGGCGGGAUUCGAACCACCAACCCUGUAGGGUCACACGAAAUCAUAUUUCAGCAGAGAGAUUCCUCUAUGCGGCAUGGCUUCAGGCUCCAAUCACAGCUGGGAUCAGGUAACCCCCUCCAGGCCCGUCUUUGGCGCGUUCCAGUGCUCACAGCCCACCCAGGUGGAAGAGCCCACUGCGUAUCAGGGUUCAUUUGUAAAUCCUUAUGGGGUGAUGAACGAGCUGUUGUGAGUGAUGUCACGUUCUUAAGAAAACCCGAACGACGUUUGAGAUGUUUCACUCGAAGGAACGGAUGAAAGAAAAAACAAAGCUCGGUAUUUCAGAAAGGUGAUGACAUACCACCUCGAAGGAUUACUGGCGCUGAAACGAUUCCACCCAAAAGUAUUGCGAUGUCAACACUUUAAAGUUUACGUUAAUGGAUAAUUACCCGUUCUGCUUCAUCCUGUGCCAAGAUGUUGACACUACAUGGUCCAUUAAGUCAUCCAGCUCCCUACUAUGUGUGAACAGCUGAAAGCCACAUUGUGAUAGAUUCCCUGGAGGAACUUCAUGUAAUCUUCUGUGAUGUGCUGUCUUUAUCCUUGCUGUCUUUAUUUCGAGAUGGCUUGCAGAGGAUGCCAGUUUCCGAAGGGCGACUGACGCAGGUGUUGACAGUCUGUCAUGAUGUUUCAACAUGUCCGUCCUCCUCGAACCGCGCUGCUUCUGGGAUUGUAUAAACAAACCUACAGGUGUUUGGGUGGAACAUGUCUCUUUCGACUCCUGCAGAUGCCAAGAUAUCAUCCACCACACUUCAGCCGCCGUGCCAUUAUUUUCUGGCGUAUUUCAGUGAAUUGCACUCGUAGUCAAAAUGAUCUGUCAUCUAUUUUUUUUUUCUUUGGCACUACCAACCACAUUAGCACAAAUUCGUAAUUUUAUUUUCAUAUUUCCUAGACCAGGUUUCAAUGAUCGUUUCAGCCAUUAUUGACCAAUCUAAACAUAACAAACUUUCUAUCAAAAGGCCUUCUGGGUGAGUUCUGUUCCAGACAUCUAUGCUAAUGCUGACCCAAUCCUUCUAACAAAUGUCAAUAAAGAUAAUAAACUAUUGAAAUGAUUUUUUUUUUUUUAAUGUUAAUCAGCAUUCCCGCAAGGUGAAAUGACCUGAAGUCAACGAGGGCAUGUUAAAAAAAUGUAUAUAUUAGAACACAGUACCUGUUUACAGUAAUUUUACAAGCUAAUGCAAGAAGUUGAUACACUCUA